GGCUAUGAUCCGCCAUUAUUAAAAGUGACUUGCUAGUGUGAAGGUGCGUUUUUUCUGUCUUUCGCGUUAGAAGUGAAAAAUAGUGUCAUUUAUUUAAUUAGUAAAAAGUGUAAAAAACACAUUUACAAACAUAUUUAUUCAUAGAAAUAUAUAAUAAUAAUUUUUCAUCAUUUCGAAAUCAAGAGAUACAACACAAAAAAUGCCACGCUAUCGUGAAUGGGAUUUGGCAUGCAAAGUUUAUGUGGGUAAUUUGGGAUCUUCCGCCUCAAAAUAUGAAAUUGAAAAUGCUUUCAGUAAAUAUGGUCCUUUGAGAAAUGUGUGGGUGGCACGUAAUCCACCAGGUUUCGCCUUCGUUGAAUUCGAAGAUAGACGUGAUGCUGAAGAUGCAACCAGAGGUUUAGAUGGCACACGUUGCUGUGGUACGCGCAUACGUGUUGAAAUGUCCUCUGGCCGUUCUCGUCGUGACAAUAGACGCCGUGGUGGCACCAGCAGUGGUGGACGCGGUGGUGGUGGCGAAAGUAGCAGUGGUGGUCGUGGCGGCGGUGGCCGUUACAGGAUAAAGACAACUUCUGCUUCUACUACUACCUCUACUCGUACUACAAGUACUUCUACUACUACCAACUCCUCUUCCUACUACUACUACUUCUACAACAAACCAAUCAACAACUUCAACAACAACGACUACAACUUCUACUAUUACUGCUACAACAACAGAAACAAAUUCACCAAAACUAUUAUUCAAAUUCCUUUCAUCAAAACUACUAAUAAAACUCUCAACAAAAACAACACUAAACAACAUACUACACACCACCACAGCAACAACUACACGAUAUUAGAAACUUUCAAAAUCAGUUACCGACAUAUUACUUUCAUUUCACUCAUAUUUCAGUUAAAAAAACAAAAUUCAAUCAUACGUAAUAUAAUCAAUUAUAUAUUAGUUAUUUUAAUUAUCAUCGACCAUUUAAAUAAAUUAAACAAUCUUUAUCAUCAUGAGCCAACGACACAGACUUUUUUAGGGGAACUUUUGGAAAUUGACGUAAAUGUAGUUGUUGUUGUCGUCGUUUGUAAACAAUCAAAUCAUCAAAAUAUCAACAAUCACCAAAACCACCACCACCACAACCAACACCACCAAAAACAUCUCUUCAAUUGUAGUAGAUUCCCGCAACUUAACUGUUGUAAUACUUCCUUCAAAUCAUCAACUUCAACGUUGACAAUUUUGUAUACUCCUUCAUCAGCAACUUCAACUGCUUCUUCUUGUACUUCAGUCGCCAUUAUAAGCACCAACAAAAAAAUUACUACUACUAAAAACAUCACAAUAAUCACCAAUACAACUACCUCUGCUACUACUACCACCACCACCAAUAUCAAUAUUAACUCGCCCCCCUUUAACAGUAGUAAACAAAUUAUUAACAACACCACCACAAGUACCACAUCCACCACCACUACCACUUCUACAGUCAAAACCUUUUUAAUUCAACUUGCUCUUCUACUUGUACUUCAAAUGCUGCAAUUCCACGCAGUUUAUUAUUACUAUUAUUAUUGGUCGUCUACAGCUGCCGCCUUAUUUGGGUUUUUGGCUUGUUUAUCUUUACUGAACAACAUAUCAACAACUCAAUUAGCAGCAGCCGUCUUCUUCCAACAACUACAACCACCACAACCACUUCUACUACAACAAUCAACCACAAUCACCAUUAUUAGCCUUAAAAAAAUCAUCAUUUUCACCAAUAUUAUAGAAAAAAACUACAAGAACACUUCAACAAGUCUUCUUUCAAAAAAACAAUCAAUCAGCAACGGAUUAUCAUCAUCAUUUGACAGUUAAUAGACUAAUACAACUACUGAGACUACUGAGUACUUGAGUGGUUUGUGUCAUUUCUGUAAGAUUUGAAAGUCGAUUUCAACAAUUGAGUAAACCUGUUGAUGAUGAACUUGUCACAAGUAUUUUUUUACUGCUUCUGAAAAGAAGUCCAACCUACAUACAUACAUAUAGUACUACAUGGUCGGUCCGUUAAAGUACAAAAAGAAUUGAAUUUUAAAUGCGUAAUUUAUUUCGUUUAAUAAUUUUUUUCGUAAUAGACAAGAUACGACAAGAUAUUGGACAUUUACGACUUUUUGUUGUGGCUUGUUUUGCAAAAUGUGUUGUUAAAUAGUUUGAUUGUCAAUGUGCUAGUGAAAGCACAAAAUCAAACGUCCUUAUUUAAAACGACUACAAGUGCUACGUCCCAGUCCCAGCUUUUGUUUUGAGAGCAACGAAUAAUCAACCAACACUUCUUCAUUUCUUCAAAUUCACAUCGCGACCACAAGAUCAACCAUCCCAUCUAAAAAUCAACGUGUCUUCUAUUCGAUUGAUCGAUCGUAUUUAAUGAAGGGUAUAGUAUGAAUAAAUUUUCUCAUGUCUGAAGAAAGUAUUAUUUUUUUAGAUAAUAUUCAAAAUCAAAUAUUUUCUCGUUUAUUUUUAUAAAUUAACUUCUACUCUAAAUUGAUCAGAGUGUGUGUUAAAUUAAUUGCGCUUUACUCUCUAGAAAAGAUUCGUAAAGUUUUUGUGUACUACAUAUCUUUUUUUAUAUUACUCGAUAUAAUUACAAUAACAUUUUUUAUAUUUUUAUUUUUUUGUUUUUCUAUUCAAACAAAACAAAUGAGUGUUAUUGAACGGCACAACAUUGAACAUAAAAAUCUUGCGUGAAAUUUGAAUUGAUCAUCAUGCUUUAUGAAUCUAUAACAUCUGCCACAUCGUUCGCUUUUGGAACACUUCAAUCAACAACACAUACUAGAACAAUUAUAAAGUUAACACAAUCAACACUUUGAAAUAAUGUCAUCAUUAUUAGCAACAGCAUUAUAUUAGAGGUUUCUCUUCCAUUUAUUUUCUCCAACACAACAGACAUCAUCUUCAAGUAGUAAUAAUUUCUUUUGAGAAAAUUUCAAAUCUAAACUUCAAAAUUUUUGCCAACUACUAUCUACCAGCUUUAAAAAUAAUCGUCAUUCUACAACAAUGGGGAGCAAAAUGUAAAAGCGUGUAUUUGUGUAUUUAAUUGUUGAAUUUUGCCAUGGGUCGGUCGGUUGUCUUCACUACUCUACUACUACAUCCUUUUGCCCUUAAUUCCUACAACAUUUAGAAAAACUUAUAUAUAAAUAACUGCAACAAAAAUAUCAUCAAAACCAACCAAAUCAAAAUCAAUCAACACCAAAUCCUACCAAUAUCUAAAAUCAACCAAUCAACCAACCAAUCAGCAAUCGUCACAACAAGCAAAUCUUAAUUUAGAAAAAAAUGAAAUCAAUAUUGUUUGAGUAUCUCGACAUCAUUAUUAUUUAAAGAAUUUAUCUUCUCACUGCCACAAGUAUAAAAAUCAACAACCAUUUACCACCAUACAAAAAAAAUCAAUCAACAAUUAAUCAACCAAAACAACAAAAUUGUGAUCCCGCUCGCCCAGACGCAGUUCUCGAUCCCGCUCCCGCAGCUUUUCACGUGACAGACGUAGCCGAUCGGAUUCACGUGAUCGUCAUUAAAACUAAUUAAAACUUAUAAUUUGUUUGCUUAAUUAUAAAAUUAAAAAAAAAAAAAAACAUAUGCAAUGUUUACAGAUAAUGAAUUCUCAAGCAGAAAAAAUGAAAUUCAUUUAAAACUUAAAUAAGAAAAAAAAAAAAAAACAUUUUUUUCGUCCGUGGAUAUAAAAACCUUUUAUUUUUUUAUUUCUCUAUUUUUAAUUGUAUAAAAACUAUUUUUCGUUUAUUUUCAGUAUGAAAAUAUUCGCAUAUAUGUUCUUUACAUAUUUUUUCUCUUAAUCUUAAGUUAAGUAUGUACAUGUACCAUUUUUAUCAUAAUGUAAGUAGUUAUUUUUUUCAAACUCCUCAUAAUUGAUUUAACUACUAAUUGUGUACACAAUUAUGUCUACACAACAAUAUUAAAAUUUGCCAAGUUUUAUUUAAAAUAUUAGUGUGUUUAUUAAUCAUCAUUUAAAAAUCAACAACACAACUACUACCAACUUAACUGCUCCAAACAACAGAAAAAAUACAUCAAAUCACUUCACUCUAUCAGUUUACAAGUUACACAUGAGGUAAAUUCAAUUUUUUUUUUAUUUUUAAUAAUGUAGUAUUGGAAACAUAAUUUUAAACAUUUUAGUGAUUUUUAGAAAUAAAACCUAUAUAAAUAAAAAAAAAAAAAUGUA
RNA transcript from Lucilia sericata (common green bottle fly), 4160 nucleotides. It is a transcript of the gene named RNA-binding protein 1-like, with no coding region annotated. The transcript has 5 exons. The record is from RefSeq and is a predicted model, not a curated record. NCBI's taxonomy places the organism in Eukaryota, Metazoa, Arthropoda, Insecta, Diptera, Calliphoridae.